GACACCCAGUGGACAUUCUGGAUACUGCAGCAGUGCCAGCGACACCCAGUGGACACUCCGGAUACUGCAGUAAUAUCAGCGACACCCAGUGGACACUCCGGAUACUGCAAUAAUAUCAGCGACACCCAGUGGACACUCCGGAUACUGCAGUAAUAUCAGCGACACCCAGUGGACACACCAGAUCCUGCAGUAAUAUCAGCGACACCCAGUGGACACUCCGGAUACUGCAGUAAUAUCAGCGACACCCAGUGGACACACCAGAUCCUGCAGUAAUAUCAGCGACACCCAGUGGACACUCCGGAUACUGCAGUAAUAUCAGCGACACCCAGUGGACACACCAGAUCCUGCAGUAAUAUCAGCGACACCCAGUGGACACUCCGGAUACUGCAAUAAUAUCAGCGACACCCAGUGGACACUCCGGAUACUGCAGUAAUAUCAGCAACACCCAGUGGACACUGCGGAUACUGCAGUAAUAUCAGCGACACCCAGUGGACACUGCGGAUACUGCAGUAAUAUCAGCGACACCCAGUGGACACUGCGGAUACUGCAGUAAUAUCAGCGACACCCAGUGGA
Long non-coding RNA from Bufo bufo (common toad), 573 nucleotides. RefSeq lists it as uncharacterized. NCBI's taxonomy places the organism in Eukaryota, Metazoa, Chordata, Amphibia, Anura, Bufonidae. The record is from RefSeq and is a predicted model, not a curated record. The transcript is spliced from 3 exons.